Molecule: long non-coding RNA, 1582 nt
Organism: Vespa mandarinia (Asian giant hornet)
Lineage: Eukaryota; Metazoa; Arthropoda; Insecta; Hymenoptera; Vespidae
Source: RefSeq, a predicted model, not a curated record
UAGUAGCAGUAGUAGUAGUAGUAGUAGUAGUAAUAGUAGUAGUAGUAGUAUUAGUAGUAAUAGUAGUAGUAGUAGUAGUAUUAGUAGUAAUAGUAGUAGUAGUAGUAGUAAUAGUGGUAGUAGUAGUUAAGGCACAGGUAGUACGAGGAAAGCAAAGAGUUAAAUGUCAAAGCCUCCCCGCAGCAACAACAGCAAUAAUAGUAACAGUAACAGCAGCAAAGUAGCUGGGUAAGCAAUAGACAAGUAAAGCAGAAGUAAGGAAGGAAGGCAGGCAAGCAAGCAGGCAGGCAGGCAGGCAGGGAGGUAGACAAGCUAAGCAAGCAAGUAGCGAACGCAUAGAGAGUGCCAUGUUCGAUGAAUAUAAAAAAUUCGAGACCUUGUUCGACUGCAUCUGGGUCAUACAGCGCGUUCGUUCGUAGUCUAACGACGACGCAAGACGUUCUAAGUGGAAAAUGAGUGGCUGCUCACUUGUGCUCAUAAGGUUAAACGAGUGUGGUGCAAGCAGUUCUCGGUGUAACGAUGUUAACGAUGAUCGCAAAGGAGAAGGCAUCUCCAAGUGGAAAGACGUUUAUUGUUCGGUGACAUUGGCAAUGUAACGAACGGAGAUGCGUCGUAAAAUUUUUUGGGAAGAACAAAUUGAAAUUCGAUAAAAAAGGCGAUUGAUUAAAAUGAAAAAAAUAACACGAGCAAAAUAAAAUAUCAUCGUAUUUCAAUACUAAGUGACAACGCGUUGUGAAAUCGCUUUUAUAUCCAUUUAAAUGUCCAAGUGAAAAUCCCGAUCGUAUCGAACAUAAAAAUCUAAAUAUCUAACAUUGUCCUUAGAAACGAACGAACAGGCUUGAGCUCGCUCAUCGUUCUACGUCGAUCGAAGAUAAUUUAAAUGAUCAUUACUUUACGAGGUAGAAAUAUCGUUGCUAGAAGGUGAAUCUAUUCGAUCGACUCUCCGUAUAGUCUAUCUCUCCUUCCACUGGUUGGAUUUCUUACUUAUUAUUCGUCAGAUUGUGUAACGUUCUCUACAAUAGUGCCAACAUAAGGACCAAUCCGUCUCUGGCUUGCGAAGAGAACACGUGAGAAUUCGAAACAAACGGAAAAGGAAAAUCGCGUUCACAAAAGUGUGUCAAAGGUCACACGCAUGAUACUUAUUGUCUAUUCCUUAAUCGUGAUCAUCGUGGGCGCACACUACAAAGUCCUUCGACUGUAAUAUCCAUGUCUCUUGAACACAACGCGCACAGGUGAAACGCUCCAUGUAAAGACGAGAGUGAUAGCUUAUUGUGAUGGAAACAAUGGACACACAGUGAUCGGGAAUUUACAGCUACCUACUCGUUUAUUGCACAUACUAUGUAUUCUACGCUAUAUGUAUACCUACCUGUUCCUCGAUGCUGAAAUAGUGAAAAUCUUAGCCGGUUGUAAAGCAACUCGCGUUCCAUUUUACGAUAUAUCUUCGAUCGAAUAUUCCUCAUCGUUUCGAUGUUAAAAGAAAGAAAAAGUAGUUCGAGUAGAACGUGAACGAUGACGACAAUCGGAAAUCAAUGAAAUCGUUAAUAUUCUUUACCGAUAAUAAAAUUGUCAGACUUGUCGAUGA